UUAGUAGUCUUUUUUAAGGUUCAGGAUGAAAGCUUGACGGAAUUGAAAAUGCUGGGAGAUUAAAGAGAAGAGCUUAAGUUUGAGCUCAUAAUCUUCCUUUGCAGUAACAUAUUGACAAAGUAAUGCUCAAGAAUGAAUGAUUUCCAUGGCAUAAGGCAUCCAUCCAGUGAGCUGCUUUCUUUAGGUAGAAAACAGCUAACCCAGGUCAAGGAAGCAUAAUCAUGGUGGAAGAAUCCAUGAACCUUCUAAUGUCAAGGUUUACACUGCCUGCCACCAGUCUAACCCGAAUACAAGGGAAGUUACAAGGAAAAGCUUUAUGGUCACUAUUACUUAAAAGAGUAGCAAAGACUCGUGUCUAUAUUCUUCCUGAUCACAUGAAUCUCAAAUGGGAAAAUUAUGGUCUUUGGUGUGUGGCUCAUUUAAAACUGAUGCAUUUGGAGAAAGGGCCUUUGAUAAUGUAUAACAACCAUUCAUGUUAAAAACACUGGCAAAAUGAGGCUUAGAAGGAACUUGCCUCAAUAUUAUAAAGCCUAUAUACAACAAACCCAUAGCCAACAUCAUACUGAAUGGAGAAAAACUGAAAGCUUUUCCCUCUAAAAUCAGAAAUAAGAUAAGGAUGCCCACUCUCACCACUUCUAUUUAGUAUAGUUCUAGAAACUCUAGCUAGAGCAGUCAGACAAGAGAAGGAAAUUAAA
RNAcentral lists this long non-coding RNA (695 nucleotides) under Marmota monax (woodchuck). Lineage: Eukaryota; Metazoa; Chordata; Mammalia; Rodentia; Sciuridae. The record is from RNAcentral.